Molecule: long non-coding RNA, 2841 nt
Filed under: Sus scrofa (pig)
Lineage: Eukaryota; Metazoa; Chordata; Mammalia; Artiodactyla; Suidae
Description: lncRNA (ENSSSCG00000061411.1)
Source: RNAcentral
UAAGCUUCUGUGUCUUUGAAAUUGUUCUUUCCUUUGCUUAUAAUUCCUUUCUCCAGUCUUUCACAUGGUAGGCUUAUUGCAGUUUGAAUGUCACCCUCUCUAUGUUGUACUUUCUGGUCACCUGUUACGGGGAAAGAGUAGAAAAUUCUUUAAAGAGGUCCAGUUAUCCCCUGAGAAAUUUGUUUGUAAAACUUCUCUAGAAGAUUUAUUUUAGGAAAGUGAUUUAAUGGUCCAGGCGAUUAUAGACACAUUAUUUUGACAUAAUGAGUUAAAUAGUAUAUUGGAAAAAUUUGAAAAUGCAAAUGUAAUGAGUUUAAUUGAUUAAAAGACAGUGUUGUUUUGGAAUUAAGCAAUAAUUGCAGAUGUUGAGUUUACUACCUGAAAAAUGUGCUGAUUCAAGAUGCCUUAAAUGUUGAAAGCAUCUGAUUGGUUAUUAAACACUGUCUUAGAAAAGUAUUGACUCAGUUCUUUCUUUCUUUCUUCCUUCCUUCCUUUCUUUCUUUCUUUCUUUCUUUCUUUCUUUCUUUCUUUCUUUCUUUCUUUCUUUCUUUCUUUCUUUCUUUCCUUUCUUUCCUUUCUUUCCUUUCUUUUCUUUCUUUCGCCCAGCAUGCAGCAUCCAUGAGAAAAGUUAAUACAUUAACUACAACGUUAUUAAAGUAGUAACUAUAUCCUUACAAUAUUGAAACAGUCACUGAUAGAGUUGGAGUCCUCAAGACUCUGAGUGAUGAAUGUAAUGGCUUUGAGGAGUUCUGGCCAGGAAUUUUUGUGAAAUGUAUCUCAGUUUGGGAUUGUCUAAUGUCUUCCUUAUAGUUAGAUUAUGGUUAUGGGUUUUAGGGAGAAUAACCAAAGAGGUGAAAUACCAUUUUUAGGUAAUAGGGUUUACAUUCUCUUCAUUAUGGUAGGCCAUUGUUCUGAUUAUAUGAUUUUAUGUUCUACAGAUUACAUAUUAUUGAUAGAAAAGGUUUUGUAAGGUCAAUCCUGCUAUAUAGCACAGGGAACUAUAUCUAAUCACCUGUGAUGGAAUAAAAUGGAUGAUAAUGUGAGAAAAGGAAUGUAUAUAUGUGUGUAACCAGGUCACUUUGCUGUACAGCAGAAAUUGACAGAACAUUGUAAAUCAACUAUAAUAAAAAUUUUUUUAAAAAAUCUAUCUGAUGUAAAGGAAUUCAAACAUAGUUUCUACUCAGGAAGAAGUUUGGAACUACUACAUUAGCAAUUAAAAGCAGUUUAAGUGUAAAAGAGAAAUAAAAGGUCAGAUCCAAGAAAGCAAAUGUUUGGCUAUCUUGGUCAUUACUCUAUCUCCAGAGUCUUGAAGAGUGUGGGACAUUUAGCAGGAUGCAAUGAAUAUUUGUUAAAGAAUAAAUGAAUGAAUGUAUCUUAUAUUUUGGAAGCUGAAUCCCAACUCAACUGUGAUUGUAUGAUGUGGCUCAUAUAUAGAGUAAUAUACUAAGGCAAGUUCUCUGUAUUUGGGUAUAAUAUCAAGAAGUCACAUUUUGAGUUUUAGAACAAAUUAAUAAAUAGUAGUUGAGGUUAGUCACCUAUGGAGUACACUAAUCUAAGAGGUGCCUUUAGAUUGAAAUAUUAUUCCAUAAAUCAAAUCAGGAAGAUCAAAGUUUACUUAAAUUCAAUCAUGGGGAACAAUAAGUAUCCUUUGAGAGGUAUAUCAAGUAAGUAUCCAGUCAGAACAAGGAAAAUAAAAGGAACUUAAUACUAGGAAUUGGCUAAGAUGUUAGAAAUUUGAAAAACAAACACAAGCAAGUGAAAAUUAGGAACAUCAGGAUAUUACUCCACGAAGCUGAAGAAACAGCAGGGAAAUCUUUAUUGCCUGUGACCUAUGCCACUGAGGCUGUUGCUUCUGGAACUGAGAUGUCUGUGUAAGAACCCAGGAUACGAACUGUACUUGCCUUCUGAUGCUACUUCUGCUUCCACUGUAACAACUGCUUAAAAACACUGCCAGAGCUAGAAAAAAAUCCUCCUCCUCCUCUUCCUACUUUUCAAUCUUCCACCAGGCAAGAGGUGACUAAUAGGUAGUCACAUCUGACAAGGGGCCUAGGUAAUGUAUUUGCAGACUUUCUGUGCCAGGAAUGGAGAGGAGGCUUAGGUGAGAGACACCAGUCACAGUGAACACAGAAGGAAUGACUGAACCAUAACCAAGAUAUUAUAUGAUCAAUAAGGUCAGUAAAUGUUUACUAAAAAAUUACUAUGAAGAAGGUAUAGAAGAUAUAAACAAGAUGUUAUGUGAGAUAUUUGGGAAACCUCAAGUGUGUAAGAUAUAAGCCCUGGCUACUGUAAGAACUAUUGUAGUGGGAACACAUACAUCCAUAAUUAAAAAUAUUCAAGGCAGGUGGUAACAAGUAUCCUACUAGGAAUAUAAACAAAGUAGUAAGUAAGGACAAAAAAAAAUCAUUAACUUUAAUUGAGGAAACCUCUGGUUAAAAGGGUUGAACUAUGUAACCUAAUUGACUUGGUUUCAUUUAUUCACUAGUCUACCUAUCUAUUCAACAUUUAUGUAUUCUUAUAUUCAAAAGGUAUUUUUUGAGGCAAUAGGGCAGACCAGUUGAAGGCAGACCAGAGAGAGAUGGCAUCCCCUCAUUUUAUCUAACCAACAUAGCUAUUUUUCAGUAGACCAAAAAUCUAUUCUACGUGAAACUUCUGGUGUAUCAAAUAAUCAGUGGUGUCAGGAUGUGUUCUCAUGUGUUCUCCUCUUACCCCAACUUUUCUGCAUUUUACGUAAAAGACUAACAGACUUUCAUAAGAAAUGUAGAAAUUUAAUUGGACCUUGACCAUGCAAGGAUUGAAAAACCUAUCCUACCCCAAGUUCCAUUUCUAUAUCCUAAAAAAAAU